AAUUACACCACUCCAGGCCCUUUUGUUUUCCACGUAAUUAAUAUUGCCAAUAAUUAGGAAGUUCCGGGUCGAGUCCGAUACCGAUACCAAUAGUAUAAUCACCUGUUACCUAUCUUAUCUGUACGUUCCGCAUCUGACAGGCGCACCACCAAACGGUGUAUUCAGGAUUAAUAUGCUAUAUACACGGGUCAUAAUCACAGGGUUGACACUACUAAAUUGUCAAAUUGUUACCUAUUGUAGUAUUUUAAUCCGUAAGACUUUCUAAGAUAACAAUACGAAUACUAAAAAUCUGGACUAAAAAUAAGUUUCAGCUUGUUAGCGGGCAUGACGUAAAACAGCGAAUCAAAGAAUUCAACUUUAUUUAUAACUUAUAUAGGACAAUGCUGUUGAUUAAAAAAUACUCCAUUCCAGGACCUUUUGUUUUCCAAAUAAUUAAUAUUACCAAUAAUUGAUAAGUUCCAGUUCGACGGGUUCAAACAGAAAGAUUUGAAAGCAGAGAAAAUUGUGUAUCUUAUAAUCGGCAUGACUUUAUCAGAUGACAGUACUAAUACUAAAAUAAGGCUUGCGCAUAGUUAUAUACUUUAAUUCAGUCACGGACCCGCGAU
RNAcentral lists this long non-coding RNA (605 nucleotides) under Mytilus galloprovincialis (Mediterranean mussel). The record is from RNAcentral. Lineage: Eukaryota; Metazoa; Mollusca; Bivalvia; Mytilida; Mytilidae.